Molecule: ribosomal RNA, 574 nt
Filed under: Salmonella enterica subsp. enterica serovar Enteritidis
Lineage: Bacteria; Pseudomonadati; Pseudomonadota; Gammaproteobacteria; Enterobacterales; Enterobacteriaceae
Also listed under: 1 other name
Description: partial 23S ribosomal RNA
Rfam family: Bacterial large subunit ribosomal RNA
Source: RNAcentral
GGGUUGUGAGGUUAAGCGACUAAGCGUACACGGUGGAUGCCCUGGCAGUCAGAGGCGAUGAAGGGCGUGCUAAUCUGCGAUAAGCGCCGGUAAGGUGAUAUGAACCGUUAUAACCGGCGAUACCCGAAUGGGGAAACCCAGUGUGACUCGUCACACUAUCAUUAACUGAAUCCAUAGGUUAAUGAGGCGAACCGGGGGAACUGAAACAUCUAAGUACCCCGAGGAAAAGAAAUCAACCGAGAUUCCCCCAGUAGCGGCGAGCGAACGGGGAGGAGCCCAGAGCCUGAAUCAGCAUGUGUGUUAGUGGAAGCGUCUGGAAAGGCGCGCGAUACAGGGUGACAGCCCCGUACACAAAAGCGCAUGUGCUGUGAGCUCGAUGAGUAGGGCGGGACACGUGGUAUCCUGUCUGAAUAUGGGGGGACCAUCCUCCAAGGCUAAAUACUCCUGACUGACCGAUAGUGAACCAGUACCGUGAGGGAAAGGCGAAAAGAACCCCGGCGAGGGGAGUGAAAAAGAACCUGAAACCGUGUACGUACAAGCAGUGGGAGCACAGGUUUACCUGUGUGACUGCGUA